RNAcentral lists this ribosomal RNA (450 nucleotides) under uncultured bacterium. Its description in RNAcentral is "partial 16S ribosomal RNA". It matches the Rfam family "Bacterial small subunit ribosomal RNA", at positions 354 to 796 of the family's 1533-position model. The record is from RNAcentral.
GUGGGGAAUAUUGGACAAUGGGCGAAAGCCUGAUCCAGCCAUGCCGCGUGUGUGAAGAAGGUCUUCGGAUUGUAAAGCACUUUAAGUUGGGAGGAAGGGCAGUAAGUUAAUACCUUGCUGUUUUGACGUUACCGACAGAAUAAGCACCGGCUAACUUCGUGCCAGCAGCCGCGGUAAUACGAAGGGUGCAAGCGUUAAUCGGAAUUACUGGGCGUAAAGCGCGCGUAGAUGGUUUUGUAAGUUGGAGAUGAAAUCCCCGGGCUCAACCUGGGAACUGACAACAAAACUGGAUGACUAGAGUACGGUAGAGGGUAGUGGAAAUUCCUGUGUAGCGGUGAAAUGCGUAGAUAUAGGAAGGAACACCAGUGGAGAAGGCGACUACCUGGACUGAUACUGACACUGAGGUGCGAAAGCGUGGGGAGCAAACAGGAUUAGAAACCCUAGUAGUCC